RNAcentral lists this ribosomal RNA (497 nucleotides) under uncultured bacterium. Its description in RNAcentral is "partial 16S ribosomal RNA". It matches the Rfam family "Bacterial small subunit ribosomal RNA", at positions 28 to 507 of the family's 1533-position model. The record is from RNAcentral.
GAUGAACGCUGGCGGCGUGCCUAAUACAUGCAAGUCGAGUGAACAGACGAGGAGCUUGCUCCUCUGACGUUAGCGGCGGACGGGUGAGUAACACGUGGAUAACCUACCUAUAAGACUGGGAUAACUUCGGGAAACCGGAGCUAAUACCGGAUAAUAUAUUGAACCGCAUGGUUCAAUAGUGAAAGACGGUUUUGCUGUCACUUAUAGAUGGAUCCGCGCCGCAUUAGCUAGUUGGUAAGGUAACGGCUUACCAAGGCGACGAUGCGUAGCCGACCUGAGAGGGUGAUCGGCCACACUGGAACUGAGACACGGUCCAGACUCCUACGGGAGGCAGCAGUAGGGAAUCUUCCGCAAUGGGCGAAAGCCUGACGGAGCAACGCCGCGUGAGUGAUGAAGGUCUUCGGAUCGUAAAACUCUGUUAUUAGGGAAGAACAAAUGUGUAAGUAACUAUGCACGUCUUGACGGUACCUAAUCAGAAAGCCACGGCUAACUACGUG